GCCGAGGUGGCGGAAUUGGUAGACGCGCUGGACUCAAAAUCCAGUGGUAGAGAUAUCGUGCGGGUUCGAUUCCCGCCCUCGGCACCA
This 87-nucleotide transfer RNA is filed under the name Limnobacter thiooxidans. RNAcentral describes it as "tRNA-Leu". It matches the Rfam family "tRNA". From Rfam's summary of the family: Transfer RNA (tRNA) molecules are approximately 80 nucleotides in length. The record is from RNAcentral. Lineage: Bacteria; Pseudomonadati; Pseudomonadota; Betaproteobacteria; Burkholderiales; Burkholderiaceae. RNAcentral also lists the same sequence under 10 other names.